Molecule: RNA transcript, 2712 nt
Organism: Chelonia mydas (Green sea turtle)
Lineage: Eukaryota; Metazoa; Chordata; Testudines; Cheloniidae
Gene: MAIP1
Gene name: matrix AAA peptidase interacting protein 1
Exons: 6
Source: RefSeq, a predicted model, not a curated record
AUGGCGCUGCCCAGCAGGCUCCGGCGCUGCCCUGGGCCGGUCCGCGCCUUCUCCGCUCAUCUCCUGGCGGCGACUGCCAGACCCGGCCGGGCCGAGCUGGAGCCGCGGGGCCCGGCUGCCCUGACCGGCGCCCGGCCCCCCGCGCGCUUCUGCGCCAGCGACGAGCCGAGCCGGCGGCGGGGUCCGCCGGGGGCGGGCGGCGGCCGGAGCGUGGUGGUGGUGGGGAUCCCCAACCCCUUCAUCUGGGUCCGCACCAGACUCUACUGCUUCCUCAUCCGGGCCUACUUCGACCAGGAGUUCAGCGUCGAGGAGUUCACCCAGGGGGCCAAGCAGGCCUUUGCUCUUGUUUCAAAGCUGCUUUCUCAAUGUAAACUUGAUCAGAUGGAGGAAUUUGUAUCAAAAGAGGUACUUCAGGUGUUGGAGGAGAAGCUUUCUUCAUUGUCUGAAAACCACAGGAAUGCCCUGGCUGCUGACAUGGAUGAAAUAAUGUAUACAACACCAGGAGAUGUUGGUAUUUACUACGAUGACAGUGGAAGAAAGUUUGUUAGUAUCCUGAUGCGCUUCUGGUAUCUAACUAGCACUGACCUCCCUGAUGAGGCUCCAGAUGGAACCAAAGUUUUCCAGAUUGUAUUUGGAGAUGAAACUGUGAAAGAAACUAAACGUCUUCUAACAGCAAACUAUGAAGGUCAAGGAACAGAUGGGCAGAGAGACUUCAAAGCACCCAUCACCCAUCAAAGCUAGGUGUCUAGGGAUGGUUCUGCCCAGGCCAGGAUUGGAACACACUUGAAGGACAAUAUGGAUUACACUGCUGCUGCCCUUGCUGUUCUGUGUGUGAUUUAGGCAUACAAAUGCUGUGUUAACACACUAGAAACUGAAGGCUUCACAUAAAAUACCUAUGAAAAGACCUUACCAACUUGGAAAUGCAGGUUCCGAAGGGAAUUUACACAAGGAGUGAAGGCAGACUGGACUAUUACACGGAUUGAGCAUCCAAAGCUAUUAGAAUAAAUUUCUUGUACAAUGACUUUUAUGGACCCUUAUAAAUCCUCUGGCAUACCAAGUGUCCAGCUUUUUUGGUCUCCCCACAACGAUCUCUUUUAAGGAUUAAUUUUAUAUUUUUUAAUUCCCAGAAUACUUCUGAAUUUAUCCUAGACAGUAUAUUUCUCUGAAAGCAUAACAAUAAAGCCUUUUCCAUGAGUCUCUGAAGUUACGAAAUACAAAUUUAAUUUGUAAUAGUUAUCAGAGACGUUUGCAUAGUAAUUGGGUUACAGGCCAGAGUUACAGAUAUAUUGAUCUGUUACAUUCUCAGAAGAAAUCUUGGUACUAAUAGGAUACAAUAUGUAUAAAACAAAAGAUGCAGUUUUAACUGGCAACCCUUCUGAAUAAUACCACUUAAUUUAUUAUGGGUAUUUCCCCAAAGAUAUAAUGUACAGUAGUUAAAACAGAAUGUUUGAAGGAGGUGGGUACAGUUAUAUACACUUCCUAUCUAGUUUGAUGACAGCAAUAUAUUUGCGUAAUUCCAGUCUUGAAUUGAUUAAUUGGAAGUCAAGAAAAUUAAAACUAGAUUCUAAAAAGUGUACGUUCUUGACUCCAGUCUAAGCUGUCACAGACAUAUAACAUUCUACUAUGAAAGUGAUACAGAAAAAUUGUUUUGGUAUUCUGAUUAAGUAACAAAAGUGACAAAAUUCCUUCAGACUGAAGAACCUGGACAGUUCCAAAUUUGGGUAUUUGGAACAAAACUUAAUCCAAAACAUGAAACUAAAGUUGAAGCUGGGGCACUGUGUCAAAUCAAGCCCUGGCAAACUGGAAGGCUUGCCAUCAAAAAAACCAAAAAUAAUUAAAAACAUUGGGGCACUGUGAACCAGAAGCUCUUGAGUUUCACUCUCAACUCUGCCACAGAUUUGCAUUGUAGCUUGGUUAUAAUCUGCCUUUAAUAUCUCUGGGCCGAAUUCAACCCUGCUCUAAGUAGCUGUAACUUUCAUGGAGUUCAGUAGGAAUUCCUGGCAGGAGCAUCUGACUUCCUCUGUAAAAGGAGGGGCGCUAUUAAUCUACCUCACAAGAGGUGUUCUGAGGAUUAACUCAGGAUACAGCAUUUUGAAGGUGUUAAGUGCCAAGUAUUAUUACUGUAUGCAAUGUUGUUGUAGCCAUGUCUGUCCCAGCAUAGGAGAAAGACAAGGUGGCUGAGGUAAUAUCCUUUAUUGGACCAACUUCUCUUGGUGAGAGAGACAAGCUGUCAAGCUUAGACAGAGCUCUUCACCUCUAUAGCUCUGUAAACUUGAAAGCUUGUCUGUCACCAACAGAAGUUGGGUCCAAUAAAAGAUAUUACCUCACCCACCUUGUGUUUCAAGUAUUCUUACUGUGUGAGUCAUAGGUGUUGGAGUUAGAGCACCACAACAAUUGUAACAUACGUCUUCCUCAGUCAAUCUGGGGUUAUAAAAAGGAUUCAUGGCAAUAACACGUAGUUAGGAUUCAUCAACAAGCUGUUUUAACAUUCUGGGAGACUAAAUGAGAGCAAAAUACUUUGGUUGUCAGCCCCCAGAUUUUGUACUUGAGAAUUCUUGUUGUCUCAACUCUUGAAUAAUGUUGACCGAUAACAGCACUUCCUGUCUUAACGGGAGAAGACCUGAGAUUUUGUAUUUAAAUAUAUAUAGUCAACUUUUAUAACUUGGGUGUGAGAAACUUUGAGGCAGAUUAAAAACUGUUCAUGGCCCUUUA